AUGUGUCCAUUGCUGCCGAAUGUAACUUUUAAUAAAGUGUGUCAUUUUAUAGAUGUCUGUCUCAUUCUUGGUGCUAAGGCUGGGGGGAAAUGUGUGUUCUGGUUUGGGAAACCCAGGCUCGUGGUCGUGGGUGGGGGACCAGGCUGUGGGUGUGCAUCCCUUCCUUCAGCUGGACAGCCCGGAUGGAUGGAGGCUGAGCGCAGCGAGGGAAGCGAGGGUUUGUUUUAUUUCAGGCACCCAUUGCUCUGUCCAGGAUGGUGGAUCCAGGAAUGCCGCUUUUCCUGGAGGUUGAGCCGCAGCUGGGCCGAAGCAGGAAGCUGCAAGGCACAAGACGAGCAGCCUUUCUAACUUUGCUAUUUCGACGUGUUUAUCUUGCUGCAAACAGCCAAGAGUUAUCUUUCCUUUUAUACUGGAAGUUUCUUUCUCCAUGUCUCCACCUUUGUCUGCUGCCACUCAGGUAAGGUGAGACCUGGGCACGUCCUGGACCACGGGGCAUUACCUGAUAAACCAAAGCAAUAAGCUAAAGUGUGUAGAAGCAUGGUCAACCUGGUGUCCUUAGGACUUAAUAAUUCUGUUUAAAUGUUGUAGAUCAUCAACAUCCAAUAUCUGACUCAAUAUAAGCAGGAGGUUUUCCUAGCAGCCCUUCUUGUGGUAAGUUAUGGCACGGUCUCCAUCCCCUGAUGGAGCAGCCAUGUGGCCUUUGCCAAGGCAACCCACACCCGUGUGCGAGGCUGUGGGGUCAACUCAGCCACUGCUUUAUGUGGGCCCUGUCACCUUUCAGAUUUCAUCCAGAUGGCAAGAGCAGUGUGGGGAUCCAGUUACAGCCCAAAGGCUCCAAUUCCCUUUUUGAGUUACUCCUUUCUGGCCCUUCAAAAUCUGCAACAUUUAUAGCCUUUGUUCCCAGUAACCCUGAGCUGCCACAAAAACUGUGGAUUUUGGGCACAUCCUCAGUGUUACCUGUAAUGGCCUUCACUGGGAUAUGUUGAUCUGAAUUUCACAAUCCUCUCCUAGGGGCACUUGCUCCCUUACCAAAGACAUAAGGAUAUUUUUCCUUGCUUCUUCUUCCCUGCCCCUACAGCAUUACAGCAUGAAACACCCGGGAACUGUGUUAACUCAGGCCCUUCUGUAGAGACCCACAGUUGUGUUCAACAGAGCACAGGACAACCUUGAAACAGGGUUGAAAAAAAUCCACUUUCAGUCGUGAGUCGGUGUUGGAUGAUAGAAGUUGGCUCAGAGUCUGUAUUACUUUUCUUAAGUCAGCUUUUACUGGCUUUGAGGUUGGUUCCGGCCCAUUUGCAGCCCACCGGGGAGCUGCAAUGGCGGCUUUAUCUGGCACGAAAGCUUUCACCCCAAUUUGAUAAAGCCAGCAGAAUUCCUGGUGCUUCCAAAAACCCCUCCCAGCCCUUCAUCUUUCUGUCCUAGGAGCGGAGGGUGUUUGUGCUACGUGUGACCGUGUGUGGUUUGCGCACACGCAGCCCAGUCUGAGGGUGUUUGGGAACACUGGCUCGCAGGAACGGGGAUGGGUUGGCUGUGGCCCUAAACAAGCAAAGCUGGUGUGAGUGCUGCGAUCCCACGUGAAAUGCAAAUCCUGCCGCCUGUGGCGGGGCUUUGCUGCUGAAGGAGGAGUUGGGAGAGCAGAGUUUGGUCCCUGGAGCUGUCACGGCUCUUCCCAUGCAGGUGUAAACAUCUGUCCAGGUCCCUGGUGGUCACCUGGGAUGUGGGAAGAUGCUAGUGGGGCAUUGUGCACCUAGCCACAGACUGUGAGAGUUGUAAAUGUGAUGUGUUACAGUUGCAGGGAAAGAAAGGGAAGGAAGAAAGUUCAAGGGAAGGUCUCAAGGGUACAAGGAAGUGUUGUCAGUGAUUUUACUGGUGGGAUUUACUAGAAGUCUGCUUUUGAGUUACUGUGAAGAAUUAGUGUUACCAGAAGUUGGCUGUCCAUGUCUUUGUCAAUCCUGAGUGUCUUUUCAGAAGAGAGGAUUCACUGGUCCAGUGAAAUCUCCGUUGGGCAGGGUCCUCGGUCUAUGAAAUCAGGGGUUUUUUGUAAGUUUGUCCACAGCACCUCACUUGGGAUGAGUGCUCUCCUACAUGGUUAGCACAAAUCUAAAUAAAUACAGAAAUAUAAACCGAGCUGGAAAUUUACUGAGUACAAGCUGUCUUGCAAAAUUGCCUGUGUUUCCUGGCUCUGGAUGGGAUGGAAAUACCACAAAGCUCGCUUCUCUCAUAGUAACGUGAUACUUCUGCUUCCGGGCUCAAAGCGGGAGGUGGAAGCGUGUUCAAGAGAGGAAAACGAAAAGCAAAAGCAAAUUAUAAUCAAGCUCAUUUUUAACAUAGCAAAAUCAAACUCUUAAUUAGAAUGCUCGAAGUGGCCACUGUGAUCAUCUACUCAGGCAUCUUGGGUAGUGCAGGGCAUAGAGUUUUGUCCAUCUGCUCUUCUGUGGCACAGAGCUGGAAAAGGGAGAUAACCUGGCCUGGAAGUCUCCAUGGGAAUAAGGCAUGGCGUGGAUCUGCCAGCUGGUUCUCAUCUGACUCCUCUUCAGCCCAAGUGCUACAUCCUGGCCAAGCAAACCUGCUUCCCCACGGGCCAUGCUGGUUCCCAUUUCUCCAGGAGAGGGAAAUC
Long non-coding RNA from Corvus moneduloides (New Caledonian crow), 2617 nucleotides. The record is from Ensembl. NCBI's taxonomy places the organism in Eukaryota, Metazoa, Chordata, Aves, Passeriformes, Corvidae.